AGCCAGACUCCUACGGGAGGCAGCAGUGGGGAAUAUUGCACAAUGGGGGAAACCCUGAUGCAGCGACGCCGCGUGAGUGAAGAAGUAUUUCGGUAUGUAAAGCUCUAUCAGCAGGGAAGAAAAUGACGGUACCUGACUAAGAAGCCCCGGCUAACUACGUGCCAGCAGCCGCGGUAAUACGUAGGGGGCAAGCGUUAUCCGGAUUUACUGGGUGUAAAGGGAGCGUAGACGGCAUGGCAAGUCAGAUGUGAAAGCCCGGGGCUCAACCCCGGGACUGCAUUUGAAACUGUCAGGCUGGAGUGCAGGAGAGGUAAGUGGAAUUCCUAGUGUAGCGGUGAAAUGCGUAGAUAUUAGGAGGAACACCAGUGGCGAAGGCGGCUUACUGGACUGUAACUGACGUUGAGGCUCGAAAGCGUGGGGAGCAAACAGGAUUAGAUACCCGAGUAU
Molecule: ribosomal RNA, 447 nt
Filed under: uncultured bacterium
Lineage: Bacteria
Description: bacterial SSU rRNA
Rfam family: Bacterial small subunit ribosomal RNA
Source: RNAcentral